RNAcentral lists this ribosomal RNA (242 nucleotides) under uncultured bacterium. RNAcentral's name for it is "partial 16S ribosomal RNA". It matches the Rfam family "Bacterial small subunit ribosomal RNA", at positions 93 to 334 of the family's 1533-position model. The record is from RNAcentral.
GACCGGCGCACGGGUGAGUAACACGUAUGCAACCUACCUACUACAGGGGGAUAGCCCGUUGAAAGACGGAUUAAUACCGCAUAAUACAGGGAUUCCGCAUGGAAAUAUUUGUUAAAGAAUUAUCGGUAGUAGAUGGGCAUGCGCUUCAUUAGCUAGUUGGAGAGGUAACGGCUCACCAAGGCAACGAUGAAUAGGGGAACUGAGAGGUUUAUCCCCCACACUGGUACUGAGACACGGACCAG